This is a non-coding RNA of Flavonifractor plautii ATCC 29863, 178 nucleotides long. Lineage: Bacteria; Bacillati; Bacillota; Clostridia; Eubacteriales; Oscillospiraceae. The record is from Rfam.
UCAAGCCUUCCGACCCUACUCCAUUUUCAUAGGGCGGAGGAGCGGUCAAAAAGGAGGAACGUCCGCCGGGCCGGCGGUGCGGCAGUGUGGAGACCUGCCGUAACGUCCGCAGAGUGACGCUCUCUGCGGGCAAGAGGGUAUUUGCGGAGGCAUUGCCCUUACGGCCCUGAACAUGGCA